This 305-nucleotide ribosomal RNA is filed under the name uncultured bacterium. Its description in RNAcentral is "bacterial SSU rRNA". It matches the Rfam family "Bacterial small subunit ribosomal RNA", at positions 334 to 647 of the family's 1533-position model. The record is from RNAcentral.
UAGCCCUACGGGACGCAGCAGUGAGGAAUAUUGGUCAAUAGGCGGAAGCCUGAACCAGCCAAGUCGCGUGAGGGAAUAAGGCCCUACGGGUCGUAAACCUCUUUUGCCGGGGAGCAAGGGCGGGGACGUGUUCCGGCCCGGAGAAAAAGCAUCGGCUAACUCCGUGCCAGCAGCCGCGGUAAUACGGAGGAUGCGAGCGUUAUCCGGAUUUAUUGGGUUUAAAGGGUGCGUAGGCGGGCUUUUAAGUCAGCGGUAAAAAUUCGGGGCUCAAUCCCGUCCGGCCGUUGAAACUGGGGGCCUUGAGG